This 648-nucleotide ribosomal RNA is filed under the name uncultured bacterium. Its description in RNAcentral is "bacterial SSU rRNA". It matches the Rfam family "Bacterial small subunit ribosomal RNA", at positions 33 to 676 of the family's 1533-position model. The record is from RNAcentral.
ACGCUGGCGGCAGGCCUAACACAUGCAAGUCGAGCGGUAGAGAGAAGCUUGCUUCUCUUGAGAGCGGCGGACGGGUGAGUAAUGCCUAGGAAUCUGCCUGGUAGUGGGGGAUAACGUUCGGAAACGGACGCUAAUACCGCAUACGUCCUACGGGAGAAAGCAGGGGACCUUCGGGCCUUGCGCUAUCAGAUGAGCCUAGGUCGGAUUAGCUAGUUGGUGGGGUAAUGGCUCACCAAGGCGACGAUCCGUAACUGGUCUGGGAGGAUGAUCAGUCACACUGGAACUGAGACACGGUCCAGACUCCUACGGGAGGCAGCAGUGGGGAAUAUUGGACAAUGGGCGAAAGCCUGAUCCAGCCAUGCCGCGUGUGUGAAGAAGGUCUUCGGAUUGUAAAGCACUUUAAGUUGGGAGGAAGGGCAGUUGCCUAAUACGUAGCUGUUUUGACGUUACCGACAGAAUAAGCACCGGCUAACUCUGUGCCAGCAGCCGCGGUAAUACAGAGGGUGCAAGCGUUAAUCGGAAUUACUGGGCGUAAAGCGCGCGUAGGUGGUUUGUUAAGUUGGAUGUGAAAUCCCCGGGCUCAACCUGGGAACUGCAUUCAAACUGACUGACUAGAGUAUGGUAGAGGGGUGGUGGAAUUUCCUGUGU